AUACGGAGGGCGCAAGCGUUGCCCGGAAUCACUGGGUGUAAAGGGUGCGUAGGCGGGGCUGUAAGUCAGAGGUGAAAGCCCUCGGCUCAACCGGGGAAUUGCCUCUGAUACUGCAGCUCUUGAGUCCCGGAGAGGCCGCUGGAAUUCCUGGUGUAGCGGUGAAAUGCGUAGAUAUCAGGAGGAACACCGGAGGCGAAGGCGGGCGGCUGGACGGGGACUGACGCUGAGGCACGAAAGCGUGGGGAGCAAACAGGAUUAGAAACCCUUGUAGUCC
RNAcentral lists this ribosomal RNA (274 nucleotides) under uncultured bacterium. Its description in RNAcentral is "partial 16S ribosomal RNA". It matches the Rfam family "Bacterial small subunit ribosomal RNA", at positions 523 to 796 of the family's 1533-position model. The record is from RNAcentral.